UCCAUUUUAAUUUAAAUAUUUCCGAAAAAAACUCGAGCCUACCCUGCCCGAUCAUGCUAGACCCGCCCGGAGAUUCCCGACUCUCUUUUCUUCCCACCUGGAGCUAGGGUUCUGUACCACCCCCAUGCUUCGUCAAUCCAGCCUUGUACUGCCAAAUUCGCCAAUUUUCUUUAGUCGUGAAUUCUGGUUCAUCUUUAAACGAACAGGAAGAGCGAGAGCAUGAAGAGGUCACAUCGUAAUGGCUCCUCUCCUCAUUCAAAAGAUGAGCAGAACAAAAGAUACUACACUUCUGCAUCUCAGAACCCUCCUAUUGACUCAGCUUCUAAGCAGAAUCACCAUGAUCAAUCGCAGCAGAAGACGGGUAAGUGCCCAACUUUUGCUUCAUACCUGGAAACCCCCAAUUUACCACCCAAAAUCAAAUUACUGUGUGAAGUCGUAGCCAACACACACUCUCUCCAAGUGGAGAAGGUUCUCGACGAUACUGGCGUUCGGGUUUCACAGGAAGAUGUCGAAGAAGUGUUGAAACUCUCUUAUGGGUUCCCUGCUUCGGCUGUCAAGUUCUUCCGGUGGGCUGGGCAUCAGCUCAAAGACCAUCACAGUCCAUAUGCUUGGAACUUGGUUGUUGACAUGUUGGGAAAGAAUGGCUUGUUUGACGCAAUGUGGGACGCUAUAAAGUCCAUGAGGAAAGAAGGGUUGCUUUCGCUUGCGACGUUCGCAUCAGUUUUUAGUAGUUAUGUGGUUGCGGAUCGCGUUCAAGAAGCUAUCAUGACAUUUGAAGUGAUGGAUCAAUAUGGUUGUGCGCGAGACAUUGUAGCGUUGAAUUCCCUACUUAGUGCUAUAUGUAGGGAAGCAAAGACUGCCAAGGCUGUGGACUUCUUGCACAUUGCAAAGGAUAAAAUUCGGCCUGAUGCAGAUACAUAUGCAAUUUUAUUGGAGGGGUGGGAAAAUGAGGGUGAUGCAGAUGGUGCCAGGAAAACAUUUGCGGAGAUGGUGGUUGAUAUUGGUUGGGAUCCAGGGAAUGUGCCUGCUUAUGAUUCGUAUUUGAAUACUUUGCUAAAGGCUCCUGAUGUUGGUUUACGUGAGGCAUUGAAAGUUUUUGAUACGGUGAAGGAUAGGAGGUGCCUUCCGGGGAUGAAGUUUUUAAAGGCUGCACUUGAGGAAUGUUUGAAGAUGGGUGAUGCCCGAGGGGCUGGUUCUCUUUGGCAAGCAAUGAUGGGGAGAAAUGGUUGUAGACCUGAUACCCAGUUGUACAACUCCAUGAUUGCCAUGCAUUGUUAUAUUAAUGACAUGGAUAUGGCAAGAAAGUUGUUGGAUGAGAUGGUUUAUAAUGGGGCAUUCCCAGAUUCUAAAACUUAUAAUUUGGUGUUCCAGUUCUUUAUCAAGACAAGGAAGUUGCAUGAUGCUUGGGUAAUAUUUAACGAGAUGAUUAAAAAUGAGUGUGUUCUGAGCCAAGCAAAUUGCCAUGCGGCAGUUAGGAUAUAUAUGGAUAUUGGGGACCCUUAUAUGGCUAUAAAGGUUUGGAAAUUUAUGAUUGAGAAUUACAAGUCUGAUUUGGAGGAGAUUGGGAAUUUUCUGGUAGUUGGCCUCCGUGACGCUAACAGGGUCCCGGAAGCAGUGAAGUAUGCUGAGGACAUGAUUGAUCGUGGGAUCAAGUUGAACUCUUCCACACUGACAAAGUUAAAACAAAGUCUAUGUAGAGUGGAAUGAUGCAGGAACCCUCGCAUAUUUGACACCGUACCUAAGCGCUGACACGGCGCGUUGCUUCGGGGCGACGACCUAGGCCACCCUUGCCCACUUUUUGCUACACCUGGGUGGUUCAAGUGUAAAGCAUCGCUCGUAGGGGAUGCCCUAGCAAAUAUUUGUUUGGAAAGCUAUAUAAUAGUGGAAAGUGUGAAACAUGGUCACUGUACAAUACUGGAAGGACACCUAAUGUUCUGCUGAAGCAAAAUAAACAGUUGUCCUGGGAAAGACGAUGAGAAAAUAGAAGCAAUGCAUUACAAGUUGAAAAUUUGACCAACCAAGAAAAUUAACUUGGGGGAAUGAAUUGGCGAAUAGUACAAUGAAGAUGUAGAGAUUGAUUUAAGAAGAAUAAUUGGCAGGAAAUAGGUUUUUCUUGAAGUUUUGAUGGCGACGGAGGUUUUCUUUUUCCCCUGUCAAAUUCACCUGAAUAUGUUGGUUGAAGAAAUUGGAACUUGAAGUUUUGAGUUUCUAGCUAUUCUCUGGCAGUAGGGACCACGAGAAAUUUCACACCUUCCUUGGGAUUUAGAAAAUGGAGGGUUUAAUGUGGUUACUGGGGUUUCUAUUGGAGGAUGUCACGCUGCAUUCCAUUCUUGCAGGUGCAAGAAAAUACUAGGUCGCCAGUUGAUAAUGCGAAGGUUGACACUGUUCUACAGGUAGAACGCUCGGUGCAAUGAUGGUGGCAGUUGCAUAACUGGAAGAUCUCAGUAGUCCAUCUAUGUUUUUAACGUUGUAAUCUUUCUUCAAAUGCACAUCAUUGUUUAUGAAUGUAAUUACUAAUUUCCUAACAAAAAGAAUUGCGUUGGUGAACAAUAUUUGUAGAUUAUGCUUUUGGUUGUCACUUAAUCAAACAAGCUGAUCCAUUUUGU
This is an RNA transcript of Malania oleifera, 2606 nucleotides long. It is a transcript of the gene named pentatricopeptide repeat-containing protein At1g77360, mitochondrial-like, with no coding region annotated. The record is from RefSeq and is a predicted model, not a curated record. The transcript has 3 exons. Lineage: Eukaryota; Viridiplantae; Streptophyta; Magnoliopsida; Santalales; Ximeniaceae.